UAUUUAUAUAAUAUAUAUAGUAUAUUUGACUUCCAAUCAAAAAGUUUAAUUUUAAUUAAUAUAAAUAA
This 68-nucleotide transfer RNA is filed under the name Anthocharis scolymus. RNAcentral describes it as "tRNA-Gly". The record is from RNAcentral. Lineage: Eukaryota; Metazoa; Arthropoda; Insecta; Lepidoptera; Pieridae.